GCUGGCGUGGCUCAAUUGGUAGAGCACCCGAUUUGUAAUCGGGCGGUUGGGAGUUCGAGUCUCACCGCCAGCACCA
This 76-nucleotide transfer RNA is filed under the name Alphaproteobacteria bacterium. RNAcentral's name for it is "tRNA-Thr". It matches the Rfam family "tRNA". From Rfam's summary of the family: Transfer RNA (tRNA) molecules are approximately 80 nucleotides in length. Their secondary structure includes four short double-helical elements and three loops (D, anti-codon, and T loops). Further hydrogen bonds mediate the characteristic L-shaped molecular structure. tRNAs have two regions of fundamental functional importance: the anti-codon, which is responsible for specific mRNA codon recognition, and the 3' end, to which the tRNAs corresponding amino acid is attached (by aminoacyl-tRNA synthetases). tRNAs cope with the degeneracy of the genetic code in two manners: having more than one tRNA (with a specific anti-codon) for a particular amino acid; and 'wobble' base-pairing, i.e. permitting non-standard base-pairing at the 3rd anti-codon position. The record is from RNAcentral. Lineage: Bacteria; Pseudomonadati; Pseudomonadota; Alphaproteobacteria.